This 491-nucleotide ribosomal RNA is filed under the name uncultured bacterium. RNAcentral's name for it is "partial 16S ribosomal RNA". It matches the Rfam family "Bacterial small subunit ribosomal RNA", at positions 28 to 507 of the family's 1533-position model. The record is from RNAcentral.
GAUGAACGCUGGCUACAGGCUUAACACAUGCAAGUCGAGGGGAAACGCCGGGGGAGCUUGCUUCUCCGGGCGUCGACCGGCGCACGGGUGAGUAACGCGUAACCAACCUGCCUCUGACUGAGGGCUAACCCGACCAAAGUCUGCCUAAUACCUCUAGGUUUCAUCUCCGGGCACACAAGGGCGAUUAAGUCUUUCAUCGACUAGGGGAGGGGCUGCGUCUGCUUAGCUUGUUGGCGGCGUAACGGCCCUCCAAGGCUACGAUCAGUAGGGGUUCUGAGGGGAAGGUCCCCCACAUCUGAACUGCGACACGGUCCACACUCCUACGGGAGGCAACAGUGUGGUAUAUUGGGCAAUGGGCGAGAGCCUGAACCAGCCAAGUAGCGUGCAGGAAGCCUGCCCUAUGGGUUGUAUGCUGCUUGUAUGCAGGGUUAGAGUGGGGAACGUGUCCCUCAUUGCCGGUACCGCAUGAAUAAGGACCGGCUAACUCCGUG